GACGAACGCUGGCGGCGUGCCUAAUACAUGCAAGUAGAACGCUGAAGGAGGAGCUUGCUCUUCUGGAUGAGUUGCGAACGGGUGAGUAACGCGUAGGUAACCUGCCUGGUAGCGGGGGAUAACUAUUGGAAACGAUAGCUAAUACCGCAUAAGAGUAGAUGUUGUAUGACAUUUGCUUAAAAGGUGCAAUUGCAUCACUACCAGAUGGACCUGCGUUGUAUUAGCUAGUUGGUGGGGUAACGGCUCACCAAGGCGACGAUACAUAGCCGACCUGAGAGGGUGAUCGGCCACACUGGGACUGAGACACGGCCCAGACUCCUACGGGAGGCAGCAGUAGGGAAUCUUCGGCAAUGGACGGAAGUCUGACCGAGCAACGCCGCGUGAGUGAAGAAGGUUUUCGGAUCGUAAAGCUCUGUUGUAAGAGAAGAACGAGUGUGAGAGUGGAAAGUUCACACUGUGACGGUAGCUUACCAGAAAGGGACGGCUAACUACGUG
This 495-nucleotide ribosomal RNA is filed under the name uncultured bacterium. RNAcentral describes it as "partial 16S ribosomal RNA". It matches the Rfam family "Bacterial small subunit ribosomal RNA", at positions 28 to 507 of the family's 1533-position model. The record is from RNAcentral.